This 134-nucleotide non-coding RNA is filed under the name Heterosigma akashiwo. Lineage: Eukaryota; Raphidophyceae; Chattonellales; Chattonellaceae. The record is from RNAcentral.
AAGAAUGGAAAGCACACAAACAUCACAAGAUUUGCACCCUCCUCUUCCUUACCCUCUUCGCUCGUCCCUCACCACCCAACUCUUUCUUUUUUUUGUUCAAGAUUUUUGUUCAAGACUUACAGAUUAUAGAUCUC